UGAAAGGUAAUCCAGGUUCAUUCUAAAGUG
RNAcentral lists this non-coding RNA (30 nucleotides) under Mus musculus (house mouse). Lineage: Eukaryota; Metazoa; Chordata; Mammalia; Rodentia; Muridae. The record is from RNAcentral.